CGCGUAGGCGGUCUUUUAUGUCAGGUGUGAAAGCCCGGGGCUCAACCCCGGAAGUGCACUUGAAACUGAAAGACUUGAGUAUGGGAGAGGGAAGUGGAAUUCCUGGUGUAGCGGUGAAAUGCGUAGAUAUCAGGAGGAACACCGGUGGCGAAGGCGACUUCCUGGACCAAUACUGACGCUGAGGCGCGAAGGCGUGGGGAGCAAACA
This 207-nucleotide ribosomal RNA is filed under the name uncultured bacterium. RNAcentral's name for it is "partial 16S ribosomal RNA". It matches the Rfam family "Bacterial small subunit ribosomal RNA", at positions 568 to 774 of the family's 1533-position model. The record is from RNAcentral.